Molecule: ribosomal RNA, 543 nt
Filed under: uncultured bacterium
Lineage: Bacteria
Description: bacterial SSU rRNA
Rfam family: Bacterial small subunit ribosomal RNA
Source: RNAcentral
CGAACGAGCACCUGUGCUUAGUGGCAAAUGGGUGAGUAACACGUACUUAAUCUACCCCCAAGUUUGGGAUAACAGUUGGAAACAAUUGCUAAUACCAAAUACAUAUAAGUUUUGCAUAAUUCUUAUAUAAAAGGAGCGUUUGUUUCGCUAGGGGAUGAGAGUGCGCUACAUUAGUUAGUUGGUAGGGUAAGAGCCUACCAAGACUAUGAUGUAUAGCGGGGCUGAGAAGCUGAACCGCCACACUGGGACUGAGAUACGGCCCAGACUCCUACGGGAGGCAGCAGUAGGGAAUAUUCCACAAUGAGCGAAAGCUUGAUGGAGCAACACAGCGUGCAGGAAGACGACCUUAGGGUUGUAAACUGCUGCUAUGAGGGAAGAAAAAUAAAAUUAGGAAAUGAAUUUUACAUGACGGUACCUCAUCAGAAAGCACCGGCAAACUAUGUGCCAGCAGCCGCGGUAAUACAUAGGGUGCAAGCGUUAUCCGGAAUUAUUGGGCGUAAAGUGUCUGUAGGUGGUAUGUUAAGUCUAGUGUUAAAGACUAGG